RNAcentral lists this ribosomal RNA (374 nucleotides) under uncultured soil bacterium. RNAcentral's name for it is "bacterial SSU rRNA". It matches the Rfam family "Bacterial small subunit ribosomal RNA", at positions 26 to 402 of the family's 1533-position model. The record is from RNAcentral.
AGAUUGAACGCUGGCGGCAUGCUUUUCACAUGCAAGUCGAACGGCAGCACGGGGGCAACCCUGGUGGCGAGUGGCGAACGGGUGAGUAAUACAUAGGAACGUAUCCUGAAAUGGGGGAUAGCUCGGCGAAAGCCGGAUUAAUACCGCAUACGAUCCACGGAUGAAAGCAGGGGAUUCGCAAGAACCUUGCGUUUCUGGAGCGGCCUAUGUCUGAUUAGCUAGUUGGCGGGUAAUAGCCCACCAAGGCGACGAUCAGUAGCUGGUCUGAGAGGAUGAUCAGCCACACUGGGACUGAGACACGGCCCAGACUCCGUACGGGAGGCAGCAGUGGGGAAUUUGGACAAGUGGGGCAACCCGAUCCAGCCAUGCCGCGU